Molecule: ribosomal RNA, 450 nt
Filed under: uncultured bacterium
Lineage: Bacteria
Description: partial 16S ribosomal RNA
Rfam family: Bacterial small subunit ribosomal RNA
Source: RNAcentral
GUGGGGAAUAUUGGACAAUGGGCGAAAGCCUGAUCCAGCCAUGCCGCGUGUGUGAAGAAGGUCUUCGGAUUGUAAAGCACUUUAAGUUGGGAGGAAGGGCAUUAACCUAAUACGUUAGUGUUUUGACGUUACCGACAGAAUAAGCACCGGCUAACUUCGUGCCAGCAGCCGCGGUAAUACGAUGGGUGCAAGCGUUAAUCGGAAUUACUGGGCGUAAAGCGCGCGUAGGUGGUUCGUUAAGUUGGAUGUGAAAGCCCCAGGCACAACCUGGAGACUGCAUCCAAAACUGGCGAGCUAGAGUACGGUAGAGGGUGGUGGAAUUUCCUGUGUAGCGGUGAAAUGCGUAGAUAUAGGAAGGAACACCAGUGGCGAAGGCGACCACCUGGACUGAUACUGACACUGAGGUGCGAAAGCGUGGGGAGCAAACAGGAUUAGAAACCCCAGUAGUCC